GCAUCUAUAGCUCAGUCGGAUAGAGCGCUGGACUUCGAAUCCAGGCUGUCGGGGGUUCGAAUCCCUCUAGGUGCACCA
RNAcentral lists this transfer RNA (78 nucleotides) under Clostridiales bacterium. RNAcentral describes it as "tRNA-Arg". It matches the Rfam family "tRNA". Rfam says of the family: Transfer RNA (tRNA) molecules are approximately 80 nucleotides in length. Lineage: Bacteria; Bacillati; Bacillota; Clostridia; Eubacteriales. The record is from RNAcentral.